CUACGGGUGGCACCAGUGGGGAAUAUUGCACAAUGGGCGCAAGCCUGAUGCAGCCAUGCCGCGUGUAUGAAGAAGGCCUUCGGGUUGUAAAGUACUUUCAGCGGGGAGGAAGGGAGUAAAGUUAAUACCUUUGCUCAUUGACGUUACCCGCAGAAGAAGCACCGGCUAACUCCGUGCCAGCAGCCGCGGUAAUACGGAGGGUGCAAGCGUUAAUCGGAAUUACUGGGCGUAAAGCGCACGCAGGCGGUUUGCUAAGUCAGAUGUGAAAUCCCCGGGCUCAACCUGGGAACUGCAUCUGAUACUGGCAAGCGUGAGUCUCGUAGAGGGGGGUAGAAUUCCAGGUGUAGCGGUGAAAUGCGUAGAGAUCUGGAGGAAUACCGGUGGCGAAGGCGGCCCCCUGGACGAAGACUGACGCUCAGGUGCGAAAGCGUGGGGAGCAAACAGGAUUAGAUACCCGAGUAGUC
Molecule: ribosomal RNA, 464 nt
Filed under: uncultured bacterium
Lineage: Bacteria
Description: partial 16S ribosomal RNA
Rfam family: Bacterial small subunit ribosomal RNA
Source: RNAcentral